This 253-nucleotide ribosomal RNA is filed under the name uncultured bacterium. Its description in RNAcentral is "partial 16S ribosomal RNA". It matches the Rfam family "Bacterial small subunit ribosomal RNA", at positions 524 to 776 of the family's 1533-position model. The record is from RNAcentral.
UACGGAGGGUGCAAGCGUUAUCCGGAUUCACUGGGUUUAAAGGGUGUGUAGGCGGAUAUUUAAGUCAGUGGUGAAAUCUCAAGGCUCAACCUUGAAACUGCCAUUGAUACUAUUUAUCUUGAAUAUCGUUGAGGUAGGCGGAAUAUAUCAUGUAGCGGUGAAAUGCUUAGAUAUGAUAUAGGACACCGAUUGCGAAGGCAGCUUGCUAAACGAUUAUUGGCGCUGAGGCACGAAAGCGUGGGGAUCAAACAGG